Molecule: ribosomal RNA, 486 nt
Filed under: uncultured bacterium
Lineage: Bacteria
Description: bacterial SSU rRNA
Rfam family: Bacterial small subunit ribosomal RNA
Source: RNAcentral
AUUGAACGCUGGCGGCAUGCCUUACACAUGCAAGUCGAACGGCAGCACGGAGCUUGCUCUGGUGGCGAGUGGCGAACGGGUGAGUAAUAUAUCGGAACGUACCCAAGAGUGGGGGAUAACGUAGCGAAAGUUACGCUAAUACCGCAUACGAUCUAAGGAUGAAAGCAGGGGAUCGCAAGACCUUGUGCUCCUGGAGCGGCCGAUAUCUGAUUAGCUAGUUGGUGAGGUAAAGGCUCACCAAGGCAUCGAUCAGUAGCUGGUCUGAGAGGACGACCAGCCACACUGGAACUGAGACACGGUCCAGACUCCUACGGGAGGCAGCAGUAGGGAAUAUUGGACAAUGGGCGCAAGCCUGAUCCAGCCAUGCCGCGUGAGUGAAGAAGGCCCUCGGGUUGUAAAGCUCUUUUGUCCGGAAAGAAAAGCACUGGGUUAAUACCCCGGUGUCCUGACGGUACCGGAAGAAUAAGCACCGGCUAACUUCGUGCC